UUCCAUGGCCAGGGGACUAGUGGGCAGGUCGGAGCUGUUCACUGCCAGUUCUGAUGCCAUCCUUUUGCUGUUCACAGUCCUCCACAAAGGUUGCAGAGGAGAGAUCAGGCUGGUGUGCCCUGGCACUGGGUGUCUGAAAUGUAUAACAAGACAAUAGGACCUGCAGGCUGAGGAAGAUUAGUGAAUAUUCUCUUUGUAUAAAAAAAACAAAAAUAUCAAAACAAAUAACUCCCCCAUCAUUUGUCCAAGUAAUUUGUCAUCAGAGGCUACUCAUGUGUGUCCUUGCUGAGGAAAACCUUAACAUGAUUAUGCUGUAAUGACACAUGGUCAUUAUUGGAUAUGGCACCAUUACUUGGAGCCAGGACAAAGAUGCAGAAAUGCCAAGCACUGGCAUCUAAAGCACAGCAGAGCAAAUAUUGGCAGGCUGCUUUAAUCCCAUGCCACACGUUAAUUAUUUACUUGGUUAUAUUUUAACACCUAAGGCAAUAUCUAAUCUGUUUGCAUGUCCAAAACAUGUAGAAUACUUAACCCCUUAUGUGCCAGCAGACUUGUAAUGCAUGUGAAUGUAUAAAUGAAUAAAUAAGAAAUAAGACUACAAA
Molecule: long non-coding RNA, 599 nt
Organism: Bombina bombina (fire-bellied toad)
Lineage: Eukaryota; Metazoa; Chordata; Amphibia; Anura; Bombinatoridae
Exons: 2
Source: RefSeq, a predicted model, not a curated record